This 253-nucleotide ribosomal RNA is filed under the name uncultured bacterium. RNAcentral's name for it is "partial 16S ribosomal RNA". It matches the Rfam family "Bacterial small subunit ribosomal RNA", at positions 524 to 776 of the family's 1533-position model. The record is from RNAcentral.
UACAGAGGGGGCAAGCGUUGUUCGGAAUUACUGGGCGUAAAGGGCGUGUAGGUGGCCAACUAAGUCCGACGUGAAAUCCCCAGGCUUAACCUGGGAACUGCGUCGGAUACUGGAUGGCUUGAAUCCGGGAGAGGGAUGCGGAAUUCCAGGUGUAGCGGUGAAAUGCGUAGAUAUCUGGAGGAACACCGGUGGCGAAGGCGGCAUCCUGGACCGGCAUUGACACUGAAGCGCGAAAGCCAGGGGAGCAAACGGG